RNAcentral lists this ribosomal RNA (394 nucleotides) under uncultured bacterium. RNAcentral's name for it is "bacterial SSU rRNA". It matches the Rfam family "Bacterial small subunit ribosomal RNA", at positions 28 to 429 of the family's 1533-position model. The record is from RNAcentral.
GACGAACGCUGGCGGCGUGCUUAACACAUGCAAGUCGAGCGGUAAGGCCCUUUCGGGGGUACACGAGCGGCGAACGGGUGAGUAACACGUGGGUGACCUGCCCUCAGCUCUGGGAUAAGCCUGGGAAACCGGGUCUAAUACUGGAUAUGACUCCAUGACGCAUGUUGUGGGGUGGAAAGCCUUGUGCGGCUGAGGAUGGGCCCGCGGCCUAUCAGCUUGUUGGUGGGGUGAGGCCUACCAAGGCGACGACGGGUAGCCGCCUGAGAGGGCGACCGGCCACACUGGGACUGAGACACGGCCCAGACUCCUACGGGAGGCAGCAGUGGGGAAUCUUGCGCAAUGGGCGAAAGCCUGACGCAGCGACGCCGCGUGAGGGAUGACGGCCUGGUGUAAC